Molecule: ribosomal RNA, 253 nt
Filed under: uncultured bacterium
Lineage: Bacteria
Description: partial 16S ribosomal RNA
Rfam family: Bacterial small subunit ribosomal RNA
Source: RNAcentral
UACGUAGGGUGCAAGCGUUACUCGGAAUUACUGGGCGUAAAGCGUGCGUAGGCGGUUUGUUAAGUCUGAUGUGAAAGCCCUGGGCUCAACCUGGGAACUGCAUUGGAUACUGGCUUACUAGAGUGCGGUAGAGGGGUGUGGAAUUCCCGGUGUAGCAGUGAAAUGCGUAGAUAUCGGGAGGAACAUCUGUGGCGAAGGCGACACCCUGGACCAGCACUGACACUGAGGCACGAAAGCGUGGGGAGCAAACAGG